GUUCGGGAAACCGGAGCUAAUACCGGAUAAUAUUUUGAACCGCAUGGUUCAAAAGUGAAAGACGGUCUUGCUGUCACUUAUAGAUGGAUCCGCGCUGCAUUAGCUAGUUGGUAAGGUAACGGCUUACCAAGGCAACGAUGCAUAGCCGACCUGAGAGGGUGAUCGGCCACACUGGAACUGAGACACGGUCCAG
RNAcentral lists this ribosomal RNA (193 nucleotides) under uncultured Staphylococcus sp. Its description in RNAcentral is "partial 16S ribosomal RNA". It matches the Rfam family "Bacterial small subunit ribosomal RNA", at positions 147 to 334 of the family's 1533-position model. The record is from RNAcentral. Lineage: Bacteria; Bacillati; Bacillota; Bacilli; Caryophanales; Staphylococcaceae.